RNAcentral lists this transfer RNA (60 nucleotides) under Strongyloides stercoralis. It matches the Rfam family "tRNA", at positions 7 to 64 of the family's 71-position model. Rfam says of the family: Transfer RNA (tRNA) molecules are approximately 80 nucleotides in length. Their secondary structure includes four short double-helical elements and three loops (D, anti-codon, and T loops). Further hydrogen bonds mediate the characteristic L-shaped molecular structure. tRNAs have two regions of fundamental functional importance: the anti-codon, which is responsible for specific mRNA codon recognition, and the 3' end, to which the tRNAs corresponding amino acid is attached (by aminoacyl-tRNA synthetases). tRNAs cope with the degeneracy of the genetic code in two manners: having more than one tRNA (with a specific anti-codon) for a particular amino acid; and 'wobble' base-pairing, i.e. permitting non-standard base-pairing at the 3rd anti-codon position. Lineage: Eukaryota; Metazoa; Nematoda; Chromadorea; Rhabditida; Strongyloididae. The record is from Rfam by way of RNAcentral.
AUAGUUGAGUUGGGAGAGCGUUAGACUGAAAAUCUAAAUGUCGUCGGUUCGAUUCCGGCU